Molecule: ribosomal RNA, 879 nt
Filed under: Pseudoseptoria donacis
Lineage: Eukaryota; Fungi; Ascomycota; Dothideomycetes; Dothideales; Dothioraceae
Description: LSU rRNA
Rfam family: Eukaryotic large subunit ribosomal RNA
Source: RNAcentral
UUGCCCUUCGUAACGGCGAAGUGAAGCGGCAAUUAGCUCAAAUUUGAAAGCUGGCCUUCUGGGUCCGCAUUGUAAUUUGUAGAGGAUGCUUUGGGGCAGCCGCCUGUCUAAGUUCCUUGGAACAGGACGUCAUAGAGGGUGAGAAUCCCGUAUGUGACAGGACAUGGCACCCUAUGUAAAGCUCCUUCGACGAGUCGAGUUGUUUGGGAAUGCAGCUCUAAAUGGGAGGUAAAUUUCUUCUAAAGCUAAAUACUGGCGAGAGACCGAUAGCGCACAAGUAGAGUGAUCGAAAGAUGAAAAGCACUUUGGAAAGAGAGUUAAAAAGCACGUGAAAUUGUUGAAAGGGAAGCGCUUGCAAUCAGACUUGUCCUAGGGUGUUCGGCCGGUCUUCUGACCGGUUUACUCGCCUUGGGACAGGCCAGCAUCAGUUUCGGCGGCCGGAUAAAGGCAUCGGGAAUGUGGCCACCACUUCGGUGUUGGUGUUAUAGCCCGGUGUGUAAUACGGCCAGCCGGGACUGAGGUCCGCGCUUCGGCUAGGAUGCUGGCGUAAUGGUUGUAAGCGACCCGUCUUGAAACACGGACCAAGGAGUCUAACAUCUAUGCGAGUGUUCGGGUGUCAAACCCCUGCGCGUAAUUAAAGUGAACGGAGGUGGGAACCGCAAGGUGCACCAUCGACCGAUCCUGAUGUCUUCGGAUGGAUUUGAGUAAGAGCAUAGCUGUUGGGACCCGAAAGAUGGUGAACUAUGCCUGAAUAGGGUGAAGCCAGAGGAAACUCUGGUGGAGGCUCGCAGCGGUUUCUGACGUGCAAAUCGAUCGUCAAAUUUGGGGUAUAGGGGGCGAAAGACUAAUCGAACCAUCUAGUAGCUGGGUUCCUGCCGA